GUAGGGAAUAUUGGGCAAUGGUCGGAAGACUGACCCAGCCAUGCCGCGUGCAGGAAGACGGCCCUCUGGGUUGUAAACUGCUUUUAUCUGGGAAGAAAAAGGCCAUGCGUGGCAAAUUGCCGGUACCAGAUGAAUAAGCACCGGCUAACUCCGUGCCAGCAGCCGCGGUAAUAUGGAGGGUGCGAGCGUUGUCCGGAUUUAUUGGGUGUAAAGGGUGCGUAGGCGGCUGAUUAAGUCAGCGGUGAAAGACUUCGGCUUAACCGGAGCAGUGCCGUUGAUACUGGUUGGCUUGAGUGUCGGAGGGGUACAUGGAAUUGAUGGUGUAGCGGUGAAAUGCAUAGAUACCAUCAGGAACACCGAUAGCGAAGGCAUUGUACUGGCCGACAACUGACGCUGAUGCACGAAAGUGUGGGGAUCGAACAGGAUUAGAAACCCGGGUAGUCC
This 444-nucleotide ribosomal RNA is filed under the name uncultured bacterium. Its description in RNAcentral is "partial 16S ribosomal RNA". It matches the Rfam family "Bacterial small subunit ribosomal RNA", at positions 354 to 796 of the family's 1533-position model. The record is from RNAcentral.